Molecule: ribosomal RNA, 692 nt
Filed under: uncultured bacterium
Lineage: Bacteria
Description: bacterial SSU rRNA
Rfam family: Bacterial small subunit ribosomal RNA
Source: RNAcentral
AACCUAGUGGCGAACGGGUGAGUAACACGUAGGUAACCUACCCCAGAGAGGGGGAUAACCACUGGAAACGGUGGCUAAUACCGCAUACGCUCUACCGAUGAGGUGGAGGAAAGGUGAAAACCGCUCUGGGAUGGGCCUGCGGCCUAUCAGCUAGUUGGUGGGGUAAUGGCCCACCAAGGCGACGACGGGUAGGGGGCGUGAGAGCGUGGUCCCCCACACGGGCACUGAGACACGGGCCCGACUCCUACGGGAGGCAGCAGUAAGGAAUAUUGCGCAAUGGGGGAAACCCUGACGCAGCGACGCCGCGUGGGCGAAGAAGGCCUUCGGGUUGUAAAGCCCUUUUCCCGCUGACGAGAAAGGACGGUAGGCGGGGAACAAGUCACGGCUAACUACGUGCCAGCAGCCGCGGUAAAACGUAGGUGGCAAGCGUUAUCCGGAAUUACUGGGCGUAAAGGGCGUUUAGGCGGACGUGUAAGUCGUGCGUGAAAGCUCCCGGCUCAACUGGGAGAGGCCGUACGAUACUGCGCAUCUUGAGGGUCGGAGAGGGACGUGGAAUUCCCGGUGUAGCGGUGAAAUGCGUAGAGACCGGGAGGAACACCAGUGGCGAAGGCGGCGUCCUGGCCGACACCUGACGCUGAAGCGCGAAAGCGUGGGGAGCAAACGGGAUUAGAUACCCCGGUAGUCCACGCCGU